GAUGAAGAACGCAGCGAAAUGCGAUACUUGGUGUGAAUUGCAGAAUCCCGUGAACCAUCGAGUCUUUGAACGCAAGUUGCGCCUCAAGCCAUUAGGUUGAGGGCACGUCUGCCUGGGCGUCACAUAUCGUUGCCUGAUGCCAGUUUCCUCGUGAUGGGUGACUGUGCAGGGCGAAUGAUGGCUUCCCGUGAGCAUUGUUGCCUCAUGGUUGGUUGAAAAUUGAGUCCUUGGUAGGGAGCGCCGUGAUAGAUGGUGGUUGAGUGACGAACGAGACCCAAUCAUGUGAGACCCCUACCGAAUUUGGCCUUCAUGACCCACAUGCGUCUUUGGAAUGCUCAUGACGAGACCUCAGGUCAGGCGGGGCUACCCGCUGAGUUUAAGCAUAUCAAUAAGCGGAGGA
RNAcentral lists this unclassified non-coding RNA (400 nucleotides) under soil metagenome. RNAcentral describes it as "partial contains 5.8S ribosomal RNA, internal transcribed spacer 2, and large subunit ribosomal RNA". The stretch from base 1 to 122 matches the Rfam family "5.8S ribosomal RNA", at positions 35 to 154 of the family's 154-position model. The record is from RNAcentral.